GCAAAUAAAACAGGGAGCUGGAUUCUUGUAUUUUGCCUUAUUAUUAGAACUUUUUUUUUGCAUCUCCAUCAGAGGGUACUAUGGAUCUUCAAGUGGAAGCUUUAUUUCCUGUCUGUUGGAAAGAAACCAUUAAUAAAGGUUUCUUCAUUGCAUAUGCUAGCAGCUGGAUCCUAUGUUGCAAAAUAGCCACUGCUGCACUCAAAGAUGAAAUUAAGUGGAGGCAAGCAGAGAAGAGAUGGUUAUAAUCGCAUUCUAAAUAUGUUAGCUUUAUAUCUACCCAUGUAACAACAAUGUUGGUAUAAUACAGGACGAUGUGUUUAUUUCAACGUUUACUUUGCUGCUAUAAUAUAAUAUUCAGUUCCA
Varanus komodoensis (Komodo dragon) is the source of this 363-nucleotide long non-coding RNA. RefSeq lists it as uncharacterized. The record is from RefSeq and is a predicted model, not a curated record. Lineage: Eukaryota; Metazoa; Chordata; Lepidosauria; Squamata; Varanidae. The transcript has 3 exons.